UACGUAGGGUGCAAGCGUUGUCCGGAAUUAUUGGGCGUAAAGAGCUCGUAGGCGGUUUGUCGCGUCUGCUGUGAAAAUCCAGGGCUUAACCCUGGACCUGCAGUGGGUACGGGCAGACUGGAGUGCGGUAGGGGAGACUGGAAUUCCUGGUGUAGCGGUGAAAUGCGCAGAUAUCAGGAGGAACACCGGUGGCGAAGGCGGUUCUCUGGGCCUGUACUGACGCUGAGGAGCGAAAGCGUGGGGAGCGAACAGG
RNAcentral lists this ribosomal RNA (253 nucleotides) under uncultured bacterium. Its description in RNAcentral is "partial 16S ribosomal RNA". It matches the Rfam family "Bacterial small subunit ribosomal RNA", at positions 524 to 776 of the family's 1533-position model. The record is from RNAcentral.